RNAcentral lists this long non-coding RNA (526 nucleotides) under Manihot esculenta (cassava). Its description in RNAcentral is "long non-coding RNA (MESC_LNC003039)". The record is from RNAcentral. Lineage: Eukaryota; Viridiplantae; Streptophyta; Magnoliopsida; Malpighiales; Euphorbiaceae.
UUCCAUGCAUUUAUGAUCAAGCGAGUUCCAGCAGGAACGUGGAAACCAGCAAUGGUGCAGUCUUCCAGGGCUUGCCGGGGACCUGAGAGCGGAGCAACGGGGUAGAGGCGGAGAGUCUCCUUUACCACAGCUUGAAGAUACACCAGGUUUUUUAAGUCUGUUUCAUUCACUUGACGUUCAACACCUACAUGAAGAUCUAAUUCUUCUUUUAGCUUUUCUAAUGCAAAUCGAUGAUUUAGCAGUAACGAGAUGGCCCAUGUCAACAUGGUUGAUGUGGUGUCGCUGCCGCCAGCUAUAACAGUCUGCAGGAAAUUAAUUAAUCAACUUAUUAAUUUCAGAAUAAUAAUGUUCUAAUAUAAUAUUGACAUACCAGACAGGUAGCUUUGAUGCUAGUAUUCGAAUCAUAAGGAAACCCAGAGAGUUGUCCAUCAUCUUCUAGCGACAACAUCACGUCAAUGAAGUCUUGUUCACCCUCAGCCUUGAGCUCGCCUGAAGCUUUCUUCCGGCGAUGCUCGCUCACCCAAUC